Molecule: ribosomal RNA, 330 nt
Filed under: Triticum aestivum (bread wheat)
Lineage: Eukaryota; Viridiplantae; Streptophyta; Magnoliopsida; Poales; Poaceae
Description: partial small subunit ribosomal RNA
Source: RNAcentral
CUUCUUUCCCUCAAUUUGAGCUUCAAUGCCCUAACAGGACAGAUCCCAAUAUCUGUAUGCAAUCUCACAAACCUGCAGGUACUGGACUUCUCGAACAACAAUCUCAUUGGUGCAAUCCUAGCUGCAUUAAACAGACUGCACUUCCUUUCAGUAUUCAACAUUUCUUACAAUGACCUAGAAGGUCCUAUCCCAUCCGGAGGUCAGUUUAACACAUUCCAAAAUUCUUGCUUCGAUGGGAAUCCAAAGCUCCGUGGCUCUAUACUCACUCACAAAUGUGGUCCAGCUUCAACACCUCCACCCACCACUAUGGCAACCAAACAAACUGACUAG